GUUUGUGCCGCGCGCCCGCCAGACCGCCCAGGAGGCGGCGGCUAUUGUUCCCCGCAGGGGCCCGGGGCGCCCUGAAACGGGGUCCACGUCAGCCCGCUCCCGAGCGUGUCCUCAGGUCUAAGGACGGAUCUGGGGACCCUUCACCUGCCUCUACUACUGCAAAUGAUUGGAUAUUCGUCUGACUUGGCUCUUCCCUAAUGUGUGGAACUAAUUUUGUUCACUCUGUUUCAUGCUGGACCUGGCCUGAAAAUGGGCCCUUAUAUUGUCUUUGCACUUUCCAACUUGCCAAGUUUCUGAAAGAAGGACCAAAGUAAUGCCAAGAACUCCCAGAUGAAGAGGACCUUCCUUAGACCUAUAACAGAUUCACUACUUGACUUCAGAGGGAAGUUUCAGCUAAUUCUCAGGAAAAGGUCAAAACAGGCCUGUGACUGUCCCUUGAAUACUGAAGGUAUAAACAAGCUUCUGGCUCCUCCAGGUCAAGCAGAGGAACACUUUUAUUAGAAUGAAGGGUUACUUCUUUGUUAUUCAAACACACACCCACACACAUCCUCUGUAGUCUCCCUAAUGAAAAACCUCAACAGAUGGAGAGCCUGAGCUCCCAAGUCCGCAGGCUGAGAAGAUGCACUUCACUCAAGGGCCAGUGGGCUGGUACAGACUAGGGAAGAGAAAAGGGACAAAGGCUGCUAGUAUAGGUAAUCACUAUCUUUUAAUACUCCUAACACAUAGAAAUUCGAAAAAUCUUGUUCAGCAAUGUUAGCAGCCUGUGAGCCUCGGAAACUAAUUUGGCUGAUGUGUCUCUGAUAGGGAGCUUGGGGCUGCACCAAGGGGAAACAUUCUCCUCCUGUAUUCUCUCCUCUCUCUCGUUUGAAAGCCUGUACAAAGAAAUGGUACAAAUGGAUGGUUAACUUAAUGAUUCCAUCAGAGGCAGAUUUUUCUCUGUCAGGUCCCUGGAUAAGGUGGAGGUCUGAAAGCCAGGAGACAGAAUAUGUACUUAAUCGCCCUUUCUGACCUGCUUACCAGUGACCAGGACUACUCUCCAGGCCUUUCUUCUGCCACUUCCCCAUUCUUCCUGGCUAGUUCAGUUGGGUCUCAGCACUUCAACUCCUGGCUGGAUCCUGAGUUUUUCUUGGUUGCAGGGAAAGCUCUCACUGUCUGCAUCUCCUUCCCCACCCCCACCUCCCGUUUUGCAGCUGGCCAUUCUGGCUGCCUCACAGCUAUCCUGCCUUAAUUCAUAUUUGAUUGCCUGGACAGAACCACCUAGAAUGUCCAGACGACUGCCACCCCUCAGCCAUGGGCCUGAGAUCCUGCCCUGACCCCUUUCUUCAGACCCCAGGAGGACCCACAAUCUCCCUGAUCCCCACCUUCCCCAAAGUAGUCUCUAGGAAAAAAGCAGAGCUGGCUAAGGCCUGAGACAGAGCCAUUUCUUCCCCUUGGGCAAACGAGGUAGACCCUCCCAGAGACCAAUGCCGGAGAGGCCCGGAUCCGAGCUCCCUUUAUAUGGCCUCCCCCAUCACGGAUCCCGUGGGAAAACCUGACACACAAUGGCGCGGCUGCUCCGGGCACCCUCAACCCAGCGCCCUGCGGCAAGGCCUGGAGCAGCCUGGUGGUCUUGGUGCGCUCCCUUUGCCCUCCCCGCAACCCUCUGCGAGCACUCGUCCCAGGAGAGAGACCCUGGCUAGGGUGGAGGUUGCCUCCCGCAAAGGGCGCUGUUGCUGGGGCCUCCCCUCCCCCAUUCUCUUGUUUUUCUGCUUCUGAGACUCGGGAGGGAGGCGGCAGGCGCCUCCGCAGCCGAUAGAGCAGCUAUUGUGACCUUCCCUUGCAGAGCGGGAACCCAGCCGAGUGUGUACCGCCGGCGGUGGCGGGGGAGGAGGCGACUGUGUGUGCAAACCUCAGUCGGAGAGGGGGUGGCGCUGGGAAAUAAAGGUUUGCAACCUCAGGCAGUUGGGCCCUUCAGAGGGCGUUUGGUUGUGUUUAGACUCGGUUGCUUUCUAACACUAAUUGCAGGCUCAAAAGGAGCGGAAUUUAUUGCGAAGGCCAAGGCGGCUUGUUUAUAAUUUAUGAAGUUUUAAAUGGCUGUGCCGCGGGCCCCAACUUUCUCCUGGGCUGGCAGCCGCGCGGAAACGCGCCCUCCCCCGGCUCGCCGCCCACCCCCACCCACGCCCCUCAGAUGAGUCUCACGCCAAUGGCAGGAACAGAUCCGAGCUAUUAGAAGUCUCGGGAACCUCCAGAGAUGACAGAAGGUGGCAGAUUUGGUCCAAGCCCUCACCCCACUCGAGAGGAGGGCGUCGGGGAAAGCUGUGGCUGCCUGGAGAGGGAGCCCCUGAUCCCACACUUCCUUGGAGCCUGAGUGUGAGAGGAAGCUAAUGUCAGCCGGGCUAGACACCGUUUAAAGUCUAAUCCAUGAAACCCUAAGCCGCAAAUGACACUUGGGGCUUUGCAGACACCCGCAGACUCAGCAGAUACUCCUGCGGUAACACACUGUGCUGGAAAACGCCUGGAGCCAUGACACAUUACGUAUUUUUAUUAUUAUUUAUGGUAGGAAGAGGAGAUGAGGGAAAAUCGGGCUGAAUCUAAGCAGCCUGACAAUUCAGCUAGUUAAUAUUUAGCCAGUUAAGAAAGGUGGUUGUAAUCCCUGCAAGGCAGUGAGCUCUCCUUUGAUUUCUCUAAUAGCUUAAAAAAUAAUUUCUUACAAGACAAUUAGAAAUUCUGCCUAUGGAUGCAAAUUUCAUAGAAAACAAUGUUAAGCCUUGAAAGUGGGUAAAAUGUGCCUUCGAUUGAAGUCAUUUAUUCUGUUGAUACACUUCUACAACAUAUAUAUUUUAAACCUGCUCAGAUAAAGUGAAAUUUAGCAAAAGGAUAUCCCCUCCCACCCCCAAAUCUAACAUGCCAUUUUAAAAACAGCACAAAGGAACAAGGAAACUAAAUAUUAUUUUGAGCCAUCAUUACUUAGUGAAAUACAAACAUCCAAAUAGAAACGAUUGUUGUUCCACCAGAAGAUUAGAAGUUAAAUUAUUUCCACACAAUAGGAAUUUCACUUCGUGUCAUCGGGGAUGUAGUAGGAGUUGCAUUAUUUGUCAAACCAAAUAGAGAUGCGUGGGCUGACUUUGCUGAAAUACAAAAGAAUUGAACCUUAUCUGAAGGCGUUUUCUAAGUGGCCCCUCCCAUAGAAGCCGGGAAGUUGUCCACCCCUAGCAGAAGCCACAUUAAUAUUUACAAAAUGGUUAUAAAUCCUUGAAGACAUUUUUGCCCAUUUUGUAUAAGAAACAGGAGUAAACAAGGUGUUUAUACUUGUUAUGUUUCAUUAAUGAAAUAUUAUUACUUUACAUCUUGGGGAAUGUUUGUUUUCUUUAGAAAUGAACUAAUGAUCACUACAAAGGAAGAAUUCAUGACAGCAUUUCCUAGAGAAAAAGCUUAGGUACGCGUCUCCAAAUGAUGGUUUCUUUUUCUACACCUUAGCUUUUUCAUAGCUCAAUUCUUCUUACAACUUCUCUUGUGUUUUUUCUUUGAUUGUCAGUUUUCUUUCAAAGUUUAUUUUUUGUUACUUAAUGCAGAAAAGUGAGCUCUGGUCUCCCCAGUGUAAAAGUCGAUUGUGUCUAGAAAGAAGGCAGUAAAAACAGCAAAGCAGGCGCUGCUUUCAAAAAGCCCUGCCCAAAUCAUCCCGCCCAGAACCUUCUUAGGUUUGCAUCCUCAUUUCCCCCUCCCCUAAUUUCAAUAGCUGGAAAGUAAUCAAGUAUCCCGAGAACCAAUUUAUGCACUAGACUCCAAAUAAAUAAAAUAUUUUUUUCAAAGUGUCA
RNAcentral lists this long non-coding RNA (3794 nucleotides) under Homo sapiens (human). RNAcentral describes it as "non-protein coding HAGLR:20". The record is from RNAcentral. Lineage: Eukaryota; Metazoa; Chordata; Mammalia; Primates; Hominidae.